UGGUUAGAGUGUAGGGACGACAGGUAGCCUAGUGGUUAGAGUGUAGAGGUGGCAGGGUAGCCUAGUGGUUAGAGUGUAGAGGUGGCAGGGUAGCCUAGUGGUUAGAGUGUAGAGGUGGCAGGGUAGCCUAGUGGUUAGAGUGUAGAGAUGGUAGGGUAGGGUAGUGGUUAGAGUGUAGAGAUGGUAGGGUAGGGUAGUGGUUAGAGUGUAGGGACGGUAGGGUAGCCUAGUGGUUAGAGUGUAGGGACGGCAGGUAGCCUAGUGGUUAGAGUGUAGAGGUGGUAGGGUAGCCUAGUGGUUAGAGUGUAGAGGUGGCAGGGUAGCCUAGUGGUUAGAGUGUAGAGGUGGCAGGGUAGCCUAGUGGUUAGAGUGUAGAGGUGGCAGGGUAGCCUAGUGGUUAGAGUGUAGAGGUGGCAGGGUAGCCUAGUGGUUAGAGUGUAGGGGUGGCAGGUAGCCUAGUGGUUAGAGUGUAGGGGCGGCAGGUAGCCUAGUGGUUAGAGUGUAGAGGUGGCAGGGUAGCCUAGUGGUUAGAGUGAAGGGGCGGCAGGUAGCCUAGUGGUUAGAGUGUAGAGGCAGGUAGCCUAGUGGUUAGAGUGUAGAGGCAGGUAGCCUAGUGGUUAGAGUGUAGAGGCGGCAGGGUAGCCUAGUGGUUAGAGUGUAGGGGCGGCAGGUAGCCUAGUGGUUAGAGUGUAGAGGUGGCAGGGUAGCCUAGUGGUUAGAGUGAAGGGGCGGCAGGUAGCCUAGGGGUUAGAGUGUAGGGGUGGCAGGGUAGCCUAGUGGUUAGAGUGUAGGGGGG
This is a long non-coding RNA of Oncorhynchus tshawytscha (Chinook salmon), 796 nucleotides long. NCBI's taxonomy places the organism in Eukaryota, Metazoa, Chordata, Actinopteri, Salmoniformes, Salmonidae. The record is from Ensembl.